RNAcentral lists this ribosomal RNA (464 nucleotides) under uncultured bacterium. Its description in RNAcentral is "partial 16S ribosomal RNA". It matches the Rfam family "Bacterial small subunit ribosomal RNA", at positions 28 to 506 of the family's 1533-position model. The record is from RNAcentral.
GAUGAACGCUGGCGGCGUGCUUAACACAUGCAAGUCGAACGGAAAGGCUCCUGCUUGCAGGGGUACUCGAGUGGCGAACGGGUGAGUAACACGUGGGUGAUCUGCCCUGCACUUCGGGAUAAGCCUGGGAAACUGGGUCUAAUACCGGAUAGGACGAUGGUUUGGAUGCCAUUGUGGAAAGUUUUUCGGUGUGGGAUGAGCUCGCGGCCUAUCAGCUUGUUGGUGGGGUAAUGGCCUACCAAGGCGUCGACGGGUAGCCGGCCUGAGAGGGUGGACGGCCACAUUGGGACUGAGAUACGGCCCAGACUCCUACGGGAGGCAGCAGUGGGGAAUAUUGCACAAGGGGCGCAAGCCUGAUGCAGCGACGCCGCGUGGGGGAUGACGGCCUUCGGGUUGUAAACUCCUUUCGCUAGGGACGAAGCGCAAGUGACGGUACCUGGAGAAGAAGCACCGGCUAACUACGU